GCUAAGAUGUCAAAGAACAUAUGUAUGAACUAUUUAAUCGCCGAAAAUCUCUAAAGACAAGUAGUUUAGAUUUCCCAAAUGGCAAAAGUCGUAGGAAUAUUGUUUGUCGUUAAUACGUAGUCAACUACGUCAGCUGUUGGCGGCAAUUUUAAAUUAGAAGAAGAAAUUUUUGUAUCUUUUCAAUUUGGAGGCAGUGGUUCAAAUUAGCGGUGAACCGAGGUUUGCGACCUUCCACUUUUGCAGUCGGACUUGCGACUUGAUUACUAGCUACGCCCGACAUGCCCAAAGGACCUUCCACUUGAAAAAAAUAAAAUAAUAACUUUGCAAACCUUUUUACCAAAGUCUCCUAAUAAACGAUCUCAAAACUUAUUUUCAUCAUUAUUAUUCAUGACAGCGAUGUUCGUUUUGUUCAACCGCUAGCUUUAUACAGAAAAUCGCCGACAAAUAAUGUGUAAAUUCGAGUAAAAUCGUAUCGGACUAAAA
RNAcentral lists this long non-coding RNA (483 nucleotides) under Mytilus galloprovincialis (Mediterranean mussel). Lineage: Eukaryota; Metazoa; Mollusca; Bivalvia; Mytilida; Mytilidae. The record is from RNAcentral.